This 253-nucleotide ribosomal RNA is filed under the name uncultured bacterium. RNAcentral describes it as "partial 16S ribosomal RNA". It matches the Rfam family "Bacterial small subunit ribosomal RNA", at positions 524 to 776 of the family's 1533-position model. The record is from RNAcentral.
UACAGAGGUCUCAAGCGUUGUUCGGAUUCAUUGGGCGUAAAGGGUGCGUAGGCGGCGAGGCAAGUCUGGUGUGAAAGCCCGGGGCCCAACCCCGGAACUGCAUCUGAAACUGCCUGGCUAGAGUCCCGGAGAGGAAGGCAGAAUUCCCGGUGUAGGGGUGAAAUCCGUAGAUAUCGGGAGGAAUACCAGCGGCGAAGGCGGCCUUCUGGACGGUGACUGACGCUGAGACGCGAAAGCGUGGGGAGCAAACAGG